Molecule: ribosomal RNA, 253 nt
Filed under: uncultured bacterium
Lineage: Bacteria
Description: partial 16S ribosomal RNA
Rfam family: Bacterial small subunit ribosomal RNA
Source: RNAcentral
UACAGAGGGUGCGAGCGUUAAUCGGAAUUACUGGGCGUAAAGAGUGCGUAGGCGGUUCUUGAAGUCCGCUGUGAAAGCCCCGGGCUUAACCUGGGAAUGGCAGUGGAAACUGGGGGACUUGAAUUGAGCAGAGGGGGGUGGAAUGCCGCGUGUAGCAGUGAAAUGCGUAGAGAUGCGGCGGAACACCGAUGGCGAAGGCAGCCCCCUGGGCUUAAAUUGACGCUGAGGCACGAAAGCGUGGGGAGCAAACAGG